This is a long non-coding RNA of Carassius auratus (goldfish), 2186 nucleotides long. RefSeq lists it as uncharacterized. The record is from RefSeq and is a predicted model, not a curated record. NCBI's taxonomy places the organism in Eukaryota, Metazoa, Chordata, Actinopteri, Cypriniformes, Cyprinidae. The transcript is spliced from 5 exons.
UUUUUUAGGAACAAGACAUACCUCCUCCAUCUUUUUCUGGUAUAUAGCUCCCAGUCACAUGUGCUGCAAUCUUAGGCCGAGGGGAAUCAUCUUGAUCUUGGAUCACCAAAGAGGGAAGUACACGUGAGACUUCGUCUGUUAAAAGCCAUAAGAAAGAAACAUCUGAAGUGAAAAGUCUCUGUUUGAGUUCCACUGAAGACAGAUGGAUGUAAAACAACAUGAGGCCGAGGAAACUGUGAAGACGGAAAGGGGUGUAGACUUGGAAGAACAUGAGGAAAAAUGGGAGGCCUGGCUUCGUGCAAGCAACUACCCUUUAAUUCAGGAAGCAAUGAACAAUGUGAAAGAUAACAUUCCUCCAAGCGCUAGGUGCCAUUUAUAAUCUACAUGGGAUUUGAGACGUUGGCAUGAAAAACUCUUCCUGAAGGCAAAUCAUGCAAAGUUUGAAAAUGUGUAUCGGGUUAUGUAGCUGCUGGGAACAGGAACUGCCUCGCACUUUGCCACCUAGCUUCUUGAGAUCAAGUUUGCCCGUGUGACAUGAGCUGUCACACUCUUGAGUAGGUUCACAUAAAAACAUUUUUCAGUUUCUCUGUCAAUGCACGAAUGAUAACAGGUUAUUCCGGUCAGCAGGAUAAUCUCAGUUCGGCCUGCAGGCUAACGCUGCCUGUGCUCACUUAAAGAGUUAGCAAUUCACCCUUCUGUCACAGUCACAAUAAAAAAAAUGUUUGGAAAGCAAAAACAGAACUAACUUCUUGAAGACUCUUCAAAGGAAGUCAACAAACACUGGAUCAAAUAAGAGGUUUUCAUAAAUGCGUCAGAGACAUAGACAAAGUUUGUUUCAAGUUCUUCUGAGUUCAUUUGUUCUGUUUUGUAUUUUGUGAUUUCAGGGGAAAAAACACACCCAGAUAUGUUUAUAGCUUAGUCGUUGCUCUUUUAUACCGCAAUAAAAUGUAAUAUAAUCAAUAUAAUUACUUCUCAUUUCAGUAAGUAAUCAGCGCAACAUUAGGUGCAAGGUAUACAUUUAUCAGUUUGUCAUCUUAGUACCUUAGCAUUGCUAUAGCACAAUAUUGUGUUUAUAAAAUGUAUAUAAAAGUUAAUAAUAGUAAACAUUUUAAAUUAUGCUGAGACAAAAGUAAAUGAAAACGCAAAAUUUAAAUGACAUUAAUAAAAUGACUGUGGAUAGUAUGGCUCUGAUAAGUUUAGUGCAAAUUUUAUAAAACAUAAAUAUAUACAAUAUAAAUAAUACAAAUAUAUAUAUUUUUGACAUAACGUUCUUAAAAUAUAUUUAAUAUUAUAAAGAAAAGUCAUGUGGAUAAUACAGCUGGUCUAUGACUUAAUUAGUAAGAAAUGUUCAUAUUGUUCAUAUUAAAAUCCCUGAUGUUUUUUUGGAAGAUAUUAGAGUUUUGUGCUGGAGAACAGUGAGAUCUUUUACGAAAGCAAGUCAUUGUCAGCGGUUUAUUUUGUAGCCAAGAAAUCACAUAACCAAGAUGAUUUCCCAAACAAUUGCUAUAUUUUAACACAGCAUCAAAAGAAACAUGAUUCCAGCCUUCACUGACUCACAUACUCAUCAUACCUGAAAGAAGAUAGUAGUAUCAUUUUGGAAACUGGCAUGCAAUGUGGUUACAAAACAAUAAGAGCUAGAAAAGAGGACAUAAAUGAGGGUGUAUUACAAAGAUCUGUUCAUUUCUUUAUGCUUUUUCCUGAGAAUAAUGGUAGUUUAUGUAAAACAUCUAGAGAAACUGAUUAUUGUCCCCCCACUUCCAGUUAGAUAAUAAAAGAUGCAAUAAAAGCGAAGUUCUCACAGGUGAGAAAAACAGCAAGAGCCGCAUUCCGCCGCACUCAUCUGCUCCCCCCGGCGCUUCCCAUGCGCUAACAGUGACAGAUAGCUUCACUCAAAUACUCCCUUCCAGCUCGUGUUUCACUAAACCACCACUCCGCUAGGUUUUUAGGAAAUUCCCUUUUGUUAAAAAUGCUGACUGCCAGCAGCACAGAAACUGCCAAAGAAGUUGCAAUUCCAAGUCAAGAGUUCGAACAUUUUCCCAGCAGUGUUGUAUUUUAACAGGCGUAAGUUAUAUGUAAACAUGAUGAUACGCUCUGAGAAAAGAUUUUAUGACAUAAACAUAUUUUUAUGAACAUGUGCUAUCCAUCUAAAAUGAUAUCUGUCCCUGAAAGCUCUGUCAUGCCAAAAA